UGAUACGUGGCCAAGUGGUAAGGCAGCGGGUUUUGUUCCCGUUACUUGGAGGUUUGAAUCCUUCCGUCCAAG
Molecule: transfer RNA, 72 nt
Filed under: Hordeum vulgare
Lineage: Eukaryota; Viridiplantae; Streptophyta; Magnoliopsida; Poales; Poaceae
Description: tRNA-Gln
Rfam family: tRNA (bases 5-67)
About the family: Transfer RNA (tRNA) molecules are approximately 80 nucleotides in length.
Source: RNAcentral